RNAcentral lists this ribosomal RNA (497 nucleotides) under uncultured Lachnospiraceae bacterium. RNAcentral's name for it is "bacterial SSU rRNA". It matches the Rfam family "Bacterial small subunit ribosomal RNA", at positions 8 to 506 of the family's 1533-position model. The record is from RNAcentral. Lineage: Bacteria; Bacillati; Bacillota; Clostridia; Lachnospirales; Lachnospiraceae.
AGAGUUUGAUCCUGGCUCAGGAUGAACGCUGGCGGCGUGCUUAACACAUGCAAGUCGAGCGAAGCACUCGGCCUUGAAUCUCGGAGGAAAGGCGGUUUGACUGAGCGGCGGACGGGUGAGUAACGCGUGGGCAACCUGCCCCAUACGGGGGGAUAACAGUUAGAAAUGACUGCUAAUACCGCAUAAGACCGCGGUGCCGCAUGGCACAGCGGUAAAAACUCCGGUGGUAUGGGAUGGGCCCGCGUCUGAUUAGCUAGUUGGCGGGGUAACGGCCCACCAAGGCGACGAUCAGUAGCCGACCUGAGAGGGCGACCGGCCACAUUGGGACUGAGACACGGCCCAAACUCCUACGGGAGGCAGCAGUGGGGAAUAUUGCACAAUGGGGGAAACCCUGAUGCAGCGACGCCGCGUGAGCGAUGAAGUAUUUCGGUAUGUAAAGCUCUAUCAGCAGGGAAGAAGAUGACGGUACCUGACUAAGAAGCCCCGGCUAACUACGU